RNAcentral lists this ribosomal RNA (422 nucleotides) under uncultured prokaryote. Its description in RNAcentral is "bacterial SSU rRNA". It matches the Rfam family "Bacterial small subunit ribosomal RNA", at positions 355 to 774 of the family's 1533-position model. The record is from RNAcentral.
UGAGGAAUAUUGGUCAAUGGGCGCGAGCCUGAACCAGCCAAGCCGCGUGAAGGAAGAAGGAUCUAUGGUUCGUAAACUUCUUUUGCAGGGGAAUAAAGUGCGGGACGUGUCCUGUUUUGUAUGUACCCUGAGAAUAAGGAUCGGCUAACUCCGUGCCAGCAGCCGCGGUAAUACGGAGGAUCCGAGCGUUAUCCGGAUUUAUUGGGUUUAAAGGGUGCGUAGGUGGUUUGAUAAGUCAGCGGUGAAAGUUUGCAGCUUAACUGUAAAAAUGCCGUUGAAACUGUCGGACUUGAGUGUAAAUGAGGUAGGCGGAAUGCGUGGUGUAGCGGUGAAAUGCUUAGAUAUCACGCAGAACACCGAUUGCGAAGGCAGCUUACUAAGCUAUAACUGACACUGAGGCACGAAAGCGUGGGGAUCAAACA